This is a long non-coding RNA of Hevea brasiliensis (rubber tree), 274 nucleotides long. RefSeq lists it as uncharacterized. Lineage: Eukaryota; Viridiplantae; Streptophyta; Magnoliopsida; Malpighiales; Euphorbiaceae. The transcript has 2 exons. The record is from RefSeq and is a predicted model, not a curated record.
CGGUGAGCUAUGGAGAUGGUUCAACUUCCAGAGGCUUCCUCAUAAAUUUUUGGAAUUUUUGAGACACAGAUAAACUUCGGGCUACAGGAGGAGACAUUUUUCAGAAUAACCUGUCCCUUUCCUCUCAGGUUAUGAAAAGAUUACUUAAUUGUAUUAUUAUUCUCUAAAUUUGUAAUUUAGGACUCCGCAUGUGCUAGUAGUAGCAUUAAGCCUAUCAGAGACUGUAUGAAUUCAAGUUUUCAUAUUAAUAAAUGAAAAGAAAAAAUUUUUAUGA